AUGGCAUCCGAGGGGCCUGCUGUCCGCUCCUUCCUGGAGCAAACCAGCUCAGAGCUCCUCACCCUGAUGGACAUGGCGCGGUGGUGGAAGGGAUGUGUGCUGGUGGUGGAAGUGGACGAUGACAACAUGAGAACUCCUUCAGUGCUGGCAGAUUUUGCACAGGACCUGUGUGGCACAGGUGACUGGGCUAAACAGCUGGUGAAGACGGAAGAAGAGGAGGUUCAGCCACGUCUGGUUUUUAUGCUGUGGCAAGCCAAUCUGUUGAAGCAGCUCAUGCGGUGGGAUUACCUGGAUGACACCCUCUGGCAUAUGAGGAACCUCCUCCCCAACCUGCCAGAGGUGCUGGUGCUGGUGAUGAUCCGACCAGACCCCCAGGAGCAGCUGGGCCAAGCACUGCGAGCCCUUAGGAGAAUGCAGUGUUUGCUGUAUGGGGCCUGGCAACUGGUGGUGGAAGCAGCGGUCUACAGCCCGGGCCAGCCUGAUGGUAUCCUGGAGACAAAGAGAGCUGCGUGUAGAGCACUGAGAGAAGUCUUAAAUUGCCAUGAAGAUACUGUAUCCACCUGAGAUCUUAACUAUCACCAAAAGAAGUAUUAGAAAUCUGGUAUUUGUUUCUUUUCACUAUGUGUACCAGUAAACUUUAAAGUUGUAUAUCAAAGACUAUGAAACUCCUACUGAAGCUACCAGGUUUGUGCAAUACAGUAUGGGAGAAGUGGGAUUUGAGGGUGGUACAGAGCCUCUGAACCAACCUUUCUCAGGGAAAGGAUCCUCCAGGUUAUUCUUCAAAUGUGGGUUCUUUCCAUGUCCUUAGGGACAGUGUGGCUUUACAAAGCAAAACUUUGCUGUAGGUGUUUGAGUGGUGCUGGUGCUUGGCAGCUUCUUGGAUAAGGUGCUGGUUGUGUGAAAAAACCUGCUUAAAAGUAUGGGGGAAAAAUUACCUUGUCCAGUGGUCUAAAUGUAACACACUUAACAGUUGCUCUGUUGUGGAAGAGACUUUCCAUGAGCAACUGGGCAUCUUAAGAUAAAUUCCCACUUUUGUUAGAGAGGACACUUUUUUGGGUGUGAUCAAGCUAAUGCAGAAAUAGUUCCCUUGAACCAAUGCAAGAUGUGUUACAGUUCAGGCUGUCUGUGAGUACAGAAAGUUUGGCUUUAAGAGACUCCUGAUCAGCACAUUAAGAUAUCCUUAAAACAAGUAGCCAUGAUGAGGUCCUGUGCUUCUAUCACUUCCUGUAGCACCUGCAGUUAACCAUCCCCAUCCAGGCACAGUCCAUGCUGCUCUCAAGUUUCUUUGGCAGCACGUUUGUGCUGUGUCCAGGCAUUUCUGUGUGGGGUGAUGUGCCGCACUGCCAAGUGCUGCUGGUGGAAGGGGAAGCUCUCCGAGGCAUUUGGCUGAGAUCCUGGCCAGGACUUGGGAGCACAGGGAUGCCCUGCAGGGACAAGUGAUGUAGCCGCAGGGAUGUGUGUCUGGGAUGGGGAGGAGUGUGGUCACCCCAACAGCCCAGGAGGCAGAAUGCCCUGGCUGCUCUCAAGCUGCAUCCAUGCUUUGUUCUCCAGCUAAUCCUGGGUG
Molecule: long non-coding RNA, 1564 nt
Filed under: Athene cunicularia (burrowing owl)
Lineage: Eukaryota; Metazoa; Chordata; Aves; Strigiformes; Strigidae
Description: lncRNA (ENSACUG00000011475.1)
Source: RNAcentral